GCGCUGGUGGCGGAAUGGCAGACGCGCAUGGUUGAGGGCCAUGUCCCAGUAAUGGGGUGGAGGUUCGACUCCUCUCCAGCGCA
This 83-nucleotide transfer RNA is filed under the name Anaerolineae bacterium. Its description in RNAcentral is "tRNA-Leu". It matches the Rfam family "tRNA". Rfam says of the family: Transfer RNA (tRNA) molecules are approximately 80 nucleotides in length. Their secondary structure includes four short double-helical elements and three loops (D, anti-codon, and T loops). The record is from RNAcentral. Lineage: Bacteria; Bacillati; Chloroflexota; Anaerolineae.